Long non-coding RNA from Lonchura striata (white-rumped munia), 1868 nucleotides. Lineage: Eukaryota; Metazoa; Chordata; Aves; Passeriformes; Estrildidae. The record is from Ensembl.
AGCUGGUGACUGGCUCUGCCCACAUCUUUCCAAGGGCUGUGCUGGAGGGCUUCACUGAAAAUGAAGUGCUUUGUCUUACAAGAGCAUUUAGUGUGGAGAUGUUGAGGCACUGGCUGGAGGAUAAACAGUCUUAUUUGUCAGUGUUGGUGUCUGGGUGAAGGGAACAAUAAAUUGAAUUUUGAAAGUCAAGCCUCCGUCUCAAAUACCUAAUAACAGAGUGUUUCAGAAGUCUUUUCCAACCUAAAUAAUUCUGUGAUCUGAGAGUGAUCAGAGGCUUUGCAGAGUUGUCACUUUGACUGCCAUGAGCAGUCUCAUGAGGAGUUGCCUCCCUGCUUCCAAUUUUACUGAGCUGCUUUUGACUACAUUGUGUCCACUCAUCUAGGAUCCUUGUGCAUGGGUGGAUGAAGUUGUUUUUCCUUGACACUCUCCAUCCUUCCACUCCAGCUUGGGCACAGAACUGAGGUCCCUUUGAAAACCUCUGUUAUAAUUUUUACAUCCCUGACUGGUAAAAGGAUGUUUCAUCAGCUGACAUACCAGCCGUUCUACAAAUGCAGCCUCUUGUGUCAUGAUAUUCUUUUGAUUUAGGGUUGAUUUAGAGAUGUGCCAGUGCAGGAGAGAAAGAGACUUUUUAAGAAGAUGCUUCUGACAUAGCUUGUACCUCCCAACAUCCAAGGAAUAACAACCAACAGUGACAUCAGAUCAAGAAGAGGAGCCAUACAGGAAGGAGAAAUUCCCUAGUAUGAACAUGAUGAUACGGAUGUGCUCAACUCUAAGAACAGUAUCUUUUCCACAUUUGGAAAAUAUUGUGGUGUUCAGACAUGGGCUUCUGCUCUGCCUUGUUUCAACAGUGUCAUGAGUUCCCUUGGAAACAACUUCCUAAUCCUGACUGCCAUAGUGGAAGACAUGUGAGGCAAGACUAAAACAAAAUCCUACUAGUGGAUUGAAUGGAUGGAAGGCAUCUUUAUGCUUUCUAAAAUGCCAGCUCGUGCUUCAGGGGAAGGAAGGCUACUCCAUGGAAGCCAACGACAAGGACCAGCCACCAGAAAAAUGAUGGAUGCCACAGGGACGAGCUUUGUUGUAAGUGUAGGAGCCUGGCACAUUCAGAGCUGCAGGAUCUUCUGUCCCUUGCCAUUCUGGUGUAUCUCAUAAAGAGGUUGGCCUUUCUCCAGCUCCCUGCAGAGAUGCCCUGUGCUGCCAGGUGGCUCAACAAAGGCAGCAGCUGAGGAGAAUGAAGGAGAAAUCUUGUAAGGCCAGAGCAGAAGCAGCUGAUGGUAAAGGAACAACAUUCCCCUGUAACAGGAGGCAGUGGGCAGAGAUGUGUCAGUGGAAAUCCAAGCAGUUAUAUCUGUCAGGGGAAUAUAUACCUGCCAGAGGAAUAUAUCUGCCAUCUAAGCAAAAGCUGGCUUAGCAUGUUUCAGAAGAUGGAUGCCCAGGAGGCUUCUUGUGGCUGAGAAGGUGCCCUGGACAUCUGCUUCCUUCAUCCCAGGUGAGGACUAAAUCUGUCCGUGGUCCCUUCUACAUGUGAGUACAUCAAGGACUCGGUUGUCACUCAGUCUCAGAUGUCUCCUUGCUGCCUCCUUGUCCUCAUUUGUUGCCUCAAAGUGCUAGUUUGGUUGGUGCUGGCUGGAGCUGUUGGUGCACAUGGAGAUGGUACUUCUUCCCAGGUGCUCCUUACAAACAUGGAAAGUUGCAGGAGCAGCUCAGUUCUUCUAUCCUUACAGUGACCCUGACUGCCUGUGGUGUGACAUCAGCCUGUCAGAAAGCAAAGGAGACUCCUGGUCAUGCUGAGUGAGCUCAGAGCAUGGUCACCAGUCUGGCUUCAUGGGUCAUCUGCAGGAGUUAGCUCUGAGGGCCUAAAGAGAGGCAGA